UUAGCUGUACAAAACUUAAACAGUUUUCGUAAAUGCAUUUCAGAGAAAAGUGAAUUCUGAGAUUUGAAUAAUGCAUCUGACGUGUGUGUGAUGACGUCACGACGCACGUAUUUUGAUUUUUACCAGUCGUUCAAGGCGGACGGAUUCAGUCCCAAGAAGCUAAAGUUUUUCAAAGACAUUUGUAGGGAGGACUUUGCAGCUAAUGGAGCUGAAGUAUUUUAUGUAAGGAGGAUUUUGCAGCCCAUAUAGAUUUCCUUAGGCUGAACCAAAACCUGCCAGACUAAAGUUGAUUUGGGAGAGAAAGACGUUGUAAACUCAAUCAUCUUGACAUUCUUCAAUGAGUAAUUGUUCAAUUUUUAGGCAAAUACUGUACACUUUGAAUGCUGUGAAUAAAACUAUAUUUUAAAUAUAUUUAAAAUGAA
This is a non-coding RNA of Paramisgurnus dabryanus, 422 nucleotides long. NCBI's taxonomy places the organism in Eukaryota, Metazoa, Chordata, Actinopteri, Cypriniformes, Cobitidae. The record is from RefSeq and is a predicted model, not a curated record.